Molecule: ribosomal RNA, 465 nt
Filed under: uncultured bacterium
Lineage: Bacteria
Description: bacterial SSU rRNA
Rfam family: Bacterial small subunit ribosomal RNA
Source: RNAcentral
UAGUCCACGCCGUAAACGAUGUCAACUAGUCGUUGGAUCCUUCGGGAUUUAGUGACGCAGCUAACGCGUGAAGUUGACCGCUUGGGGAGUACGGCCGCAAGGUUAAAACUCAAAUGAAUUGACGGGGCCCGCACAAGCGGUGGAGCAUGUGGUUUAAUUCGAUGCAACGCGAAGAACCUUACCUACCCUUGACAUCAUCAGAACUUGUUAGAGAUAACUCGGUGCCUUCGGGAACUGGUUGACAGGUGCUGCAUGGCUGUCGUCAGUUCGUGCCGUGAGGUGUUGGGUUAAGUCCCGCAACGAACGCAACCCCUAUUAACUGUUGCCAGCAUUUCGGAUGGGGACUCAGUUAAGACUGCCUACGCAAGUAGAGAGGAAGGAGGGGACGACGUCAGGGUCAUCAUGGCCCUUACGCCUAGGGGCGACACACGUGCUACAAUGGGUAGAUACAGAGUGUAGCGAACU